GAUGUAAUUUUUACACCAUUGUGACCACCGUUUCUUCCUCUACAUGUUGACCAGAGCAAAACACCAAAUCGCGAUUCGAGCCUGAGGAGCCGCUGCACCGGAGAGCCCCGCCACCGGUAAGUUUUGGUCGAAUACGGCUAAAAACGGCUGGGAAACGACCAACCUGAGGCGGAUCGCCGCCGCAAGCGGAGGCACCGCCUCAAGCGGCGGCACCGACACCGA
RNAcentral lists this long non-coding RNA (222 nucleotides) under Carica papaya (papaya). RNAcentral describes it as "long non-coding RNA (CPAP_LNC015524)". The record is from RNAcentral. Lineage: Eukaryota; Viridiplantae; Streptophyta; Magnoliopsida; Brassicales; Caricaceae.